This 481-nucleotide ribosomal RNA is filed under the name uncultured bacterium. Its description in RNAcentral is "partial 16S ribosomal RNA". It matches the Rfam family "Bacterial small subunit ribosomal RNA", at positions 28 to 507 of the family's 1533-position model. The record is from RNAcentral.
GAUGAACGCUGGCGGCGUGCUUAACACAUGCAAGUCGAACGAAGCACUUUAUUUGAUUUCCUUCGGGACUGAUUAUUUUGUGACUGAGUGGCGGACGGGUGAGUAACGCGUGGGUAACAUGCCUUGUACAGGGGGCUAACAGUUGGAAACGGCUGCUAAUGCCGCAUAAGCGCACAGCAUCGCAUGAUGCUGUGUUAAAAACUCCGAUGGUAUAGGAUGGGCCCGAGUUGGAUUAGCUAGUUGGUGAGGUAACGGCCCACCAAGGCGAGGUUCCAUAGCCGACAUGAGAGGGUGACUGGCGACAUUGGGACGGGGAAGCGGCCGAAACUACUACGGGAGGCGGGAAUGGGGAAUAUAGCAAAACGGGCGAAAGGAAGAUGCAGUGCGGAUGGGUGAGCGAAGAAGUAUGUGGGGAUGUAAAGCUCUAUCAGCAGUGAAUGUUUUGACGGUACCUGACGAAGAAGCACCGGCUAACUACGUG